Molecule: ribosomal RNA, 373 nt
Filed under: uncultured organism
Description: partial 16S ribosomal RNA
Rfam family: Bacterial small subunit ribosomal RNA
Source: RNAcentral
GUAGGGUGCGAGCGUUAAUCGGAAUUACUGGGGCGUAAAGCGUGCGCAGGCGGCUUUGCAAGACAGAGGUGAAAUCCCCCGGGGCUCAACCUGGGGAACUGCCUUUGUGACUGCAAGGCUAGAGUACGGCAGAGGGGGAUGGAAUUCCGCGUGUAGCAGUGAAAUGCGUAGAUAUGCGGAGGAACACCAAUGGCGAAGGCAAUCCCCUGGGCCUGUACUGACGCUCAUGCACGAAAGCGUGGGGAGCAAACAGGAUUAGAUACCCUGGUAGUCCACGCCCUAAGCGAUGUCAACUGGUUGUUGGACGGCUUGCUGUUCAGUAACGAAGCUAACGCGUGAAGUUGACCGCCUGGGGAGUACGGCCGCAAGGUUG